Ornithodoros turicata is the source of this 856-nucleotide long non-coding RNA. RefSeq lists it as uncharacterized. The transcript is spliced from 2 exons. NCBI's taxonomy places the organism in Eukaryota, Metazoa, Arthropoda, Arachnida, Ixodida, Argasidae. The record is from RefSeq and is a predicted model, not a curated record.
UUACAUUAUGCAUCAUCUUCACCAGCUCGCUUGCUUCCUAGCCAUUUUUUCAAGGUGUAAAUAUUAUGUAAAAUUAUGGUGCCAGUAGUAUUUUGCAAGUACGCUGUGCGGAUGGCCAUAUUUCUGACGAUUACGAGAGCGCUAGGCCGCCCACUCGACACGAUCGCCCAUGGAGCGCGCCAAGCAUUGCGGAAAAAUCUGAGGAGCGCGUGACGUCAAAUAUCUCUCGCGCUCCAUGUGCGGCUGCACGGUACAAACACGGCGAAUUCUGAAUAACGCCUGAAGAUGUUUGAUUCGGAGAUCUCGUGGAAGUCUGAAGACAAUAUAUUCUAUGAGAGAUGGGUUCGUACAUGCUUCUUCGUCUUCGUUCUUUCCCCGUAGCAGGAAUUAGACGUACGCCGAAACACCAAAUGAAAUGAAGCGAAAUGAAAGUCAGGAACUCCAACAGGAGAGCCAACGUGCGUCACUUCCGUGGUCUGCUACGGCGGCGCGGCGACGCUCACCAGGGGCUCAGAGUGCUCCACGGCCGAAUUUUAUAUCGCGAUUGUGGCGGCGUUUCAACUAAUAUACGCAAAUCUAAGUCGAAUUCCGGAUUGUUUUGGUACACAUCGCAAUAUGAGGCAAAUAGCUGUGCAGCCUAUUUUCGUUUCCGUCGUCUUUUAAGUACAUUGUUAUUUAUAGCUAUUUUUCAUUUCAGUCAUGUUAUGUGGGUACGCGAAGGAUUCCGAAAAACAACAACAACAUGGCUAACAGGAUGUUGCUGCCCAGGGAGUCUUGGCUGAAGAGGUCUACUCAUUCCAGAAGCAAGAAUUGUACCAUUGUAAAGCGAAUGGAAAUAAACUGACGUCGACUGAGA